Molecule: long non-coding RNA, 337 nt
Filed under: Olea europaea subsp. europaea
Lineage: Eukaryota; Viridiplantae; Streptophyta; Magnoliopsida; Lamiales; Oleaceae
Source: RNAcentral
AUUUUCAUCUACAAACAAAGGAAAACUACGUACCUUAAAUAAAUAGUAAGAAAAUAAAAAAAGAAAUACACAAAAAAGAAAAAUUAUAAGAAGAACAUACCCAAAAUAAUUGUUGCAACUUCUAGAAUUUUCUUCUCCACUAUUGAUGACGAGAAAAUACGAAUUAGGCUAAAGGCAAAAGCGAAUAAUGGUAGAAGGACGACCUUUUUUUUUCAGAGAAAACAAGAUUUUGGGGAGAAUUCGUUCUGCAAAACAAUGGCUAGAAUUUAGAAAGAGAAGGAUUGAAUUGAUAGAAGAGUAUUGUGCGAAAUUUAUGUGGUAAGAAAAAAAAAUAAAC